AAUAUGCCAAAUAACAGUUAACCGACAAACACACUAGACUCGGGCUCCAUUAGCGACCUUAAGCAAUUUCACACAUUCGUUGAUUCAAGAAUUACCGUUUUAUCAUUAUUGAACUUUAAUACCAUGAUAGGAAAUAGGGUGAGGGGUUCAUACUCGUUUCGGGGUCCGAACACGGCUUCACAGUGCGCCUACAGGCUGUCCCUAAUUUUUCCUGAAUUUUUUCCGGGAAACUGAAACGCACUACUGGUACCUACACGUGUCCCAAAAAAAUCCCAAAUUAGACCCAGGUCUCCUUUCGGCCAAUAUCGCAAUUCUAGCACGGCGGCUCCUCCGUGCUCCGGCGAUUUGCCUCGGGUUGGCCGUUUUCGGCCGAAUUCGGCCACACUUGCAUCGGUUCCUGCGAUAAAACAACCCUAGGGCCCUCGGGGGGCCAAAAAAUUACGAAAAACCGAAGCUUACCGGCAGCGGUGUUCUCGGGUGCGGUGGCUCUCCGGUGAGGUUCGUGUUUUGGUGAUUCGGCUCCGAUCAACCUGUAGAGAAAAGAAUGGUGAUCACGGUGAUAUAAAAAUUGCAUCAAACAGAGGCCGGGAAGGGCCUCAUCGGAGGCAAAAAUCGAGGAGGGACGCGGCGGCGCCGCUGGGUUUCAGCCAUGUUUUUCGGCCGUUUGGCCGGGAUUUUGGCUCCGAUUUGGCCACAUGGGAAAACAGCGUGGAAAAACGAGUCGGGGGUAUGAAAUUUACCUCGAUCGACGGUCGGAAAUCUCCCCGGUGCGGCGGCGGGUGGCGGCGGCAGGCUUCUCCGGCGUCUGGUUCGUCUUCUCCAGCGAGGGCAGGCGGCUAGGGUUUUUGUGGUCAGGUGUGGGGGUUCUAUUUAUACCCUUUUGCCUUUUGAUCUCAGCCGUCCAUUUUGAUUUAAUCUGGGCCGUCCGUUUUUGAUUUAAUUUGGGCCGUCCGUGCGAUUGCAUCUGGGCCGUCCGUGCGCACGCUUGAUCUGGGCCGUCCGUGCGCACGCUAGAUCUGGACCGUCCGAUCGCGCGUACGCAGAUCGCCAACGUGGCCCGUCUCCGGUCGACGUGGUCUUGCCACGUGGCAGGUACUGGUUGGCCAGGACUGCUAACUGGGUCUGCUGACGUGGCUGCUGACGUGGCGCUUUUUU
Molecule: long non-coding RNA, 1155 nt
Filed under: Carica papaya (papaya)
Lineage: Eukaryota; Viridiplantae; Streptophyta; Magnoliopsida; Brassicales; Caricaceae
Description: long non-coding RNA (CPAP_LNC009133)
Source: RNAcentral